This 874-nucleotide ribosomal RNA is filed under the name Limosilactobacillus fermentum. RNAcentral's name for it is "bacterial SSU rRNA". It matches the Rfam family "Bacterial small subunit ribosomal RNA", at positions 37 to 892 of the family's 1533-position model. The record is from RNAcentral. Lineage: Bacteria; Bacillati; Bacillota; Bacilli; Lactobacillales; Lactobacillaceae.
UCGACGCGUUGGCCCAAUUGAUUGAUGGUGCUUGCACCUGAUUGAUUUUGGUCGCCAACGAGUGGCGGACGGGUGAGUAACACGUAGGUAACCUGCCCAGAAGCGGGGGACAACAUUUGGAAACAGAUGCUAAUACCGCAUAACAACGUUGUUCGCAUGAACAACGCUUAAAAGAUGGCUUCUCGCUAUCACUUCUGGAUGGACCUGCGGUGCAUUAGCUUGUUGGUGGGGUAACGGCCUACCAAGGCGAUGAUGCAUAGCCGAGUUGAGAGACUGAUCGGCCACAAUGGGACUGAGACACGGCCCAUACUCCUACGGGAGGCAGCAGUAGGGAAUCUUCCACAAUGGGCGCAAGCCUGAUGGAGCAACACCGCGUGAGUGAAGAAGGGUUUCGGCUCGUAAAGCUCUGUUGUUAAAGAAGAACACGUAUGAGAGUAACUGUUCAUACGUUGACGGUAUUUAACCAGAAAGUCACGGCUAACUACGUGCCAGCAGCCGCGGUAAUACGUAGGUGGCAAGCGUUAUCCGGAUUUAUUGGGCGUAAAGAGAGUGCAGGCGGUUUUCUAAGUCUGAUGUGAAAGCCUUCGGCUUAACCGGAGAAGUGCAUCGGAAACUGGAUAACUUGAGUGCAGAAGAGGGUAGUGGAACUCCAUGUGUAGCGGUGGAAUGCGUAGAUAUAUGGAAGAACACCAGUGGCGAAGGCGGCUACCUGGUCUGCAACUGACGCUGAGACUCGAAAGCAUGGGUAGCGAACAGGAUUAGAUACCCUGGUAGUCCAUGCCGUAAACGAUGAGUGCUAGGUGUUGGAGGGUUUCCGCCCUUCAGUGCCGGAGCUAACGCAUUAAGCACUCCGCCUGGGGAGUACGACCGCAAG